This 279-nucleotide ribosomal RNA is filed under the name uncultured bacterium. Its description in RNAcentral is "partial 16S ribosomal RNA". It matches the Rfam family "Archaeal small subunit ribosomal RNA", at positions 456 to 735 of the family's 1478-position model. The record is from RNAcentral.
UGCCAGCAGCCGCGGUAAUACCGGCAGCCCGAGUGAUGGCCGCGAUUAUUGGGCCUAAAGCGUUCGUAGCCUGCCGGACAAGUCCGUUGGGAAAUCCACGCGCUCAACGCGUGGGCGUCCAGCGGAAACUGUCCGGCUUGGGGCCGGAAGACUCGAGGGGUACGUCUGGGUAGGAGUGAAAUCCCGUAAUCCUGGACGGACCGCCGGUAGCGAAAGCGCCUCGAGAGGACGGACCCGACGGUGAGGGACGAAAGCCAGGGUCUCGAACCGGAUUAGAUA